Molecule: long non-coding RNA, 4654 nt
Organism: Peromyscus californicus insignis
Lineage: Eukaryota; Metazoa; Chordata; Mammalia; Rodentia; Cricetidae
Exons: 2
Source: RefSeq, a predicted model, not a curated record
UGGCAGAUACAGGCACAUUUGCUUUGCUUUUUGGUUCAGGGUGCUUGAACACCCCCAGAGGAGGCAGGCUGAUGUUGUUUAGUGGGUGGAGGAGCAGCAGAGCCCCACAGCAAGGGCGCUUUCUGUUCUCACUUGCUGUUUACUUGCCAAUAUUUAUGUACACAGUUGUUGUUCUGGGACAAGCCAAGGUAUUUCAGUCUCUUGUGUGCCUUCACAUACACGUCACGUUGGUGAACAUAUGUGCUCCACCAUGACCACUUCCUCACUUCUAGUUAAGGCCUUCCAGACUAUCUUUUAUGGAGGGAAUGAAAGAAUUUUCUAGAGAACUGAUUUGAAUAAUGGAGUGAAUCAGAAACAAUCAUUUUAAAGUCACUUGGUCAUUUUAGGAAGUUGUUUAUGUUGACUGAAACAAAAAUUUCAAUUUUGCAGAGCACUGAGAGGAAGUAGCUUGGCAGAAUUUUCUUUGCAAGAUCAAUAAUUUAGUUAAAAGUGAAUAAUAACUUUAAAUUCAUGCAGUUCUUCUCUUUGAAGGUACAGAACCAAUAUUUCCUUAAUUGUCCUAUAAAUCAAAACUUUAGAGUUCCACUAGGUCUUAGAGGUACAGAGAGGGGAUAGCUGCUGUUUCUAGUCACAGAGUUUGUGCUUUUAUAUUCCUCACAGAUUGACACCGUCACUGAGUCACAGACUUCAAAAUAUUGAAAAAAUUAUUAGAUUUGUGUAUGAAACAGCCUGCCCGGUUUAUAAACAGAAGUAUAAAAGCUGGAGACUGAUGUAUGAGACCAUGAGCUUUGAGGAAGUGUUCUCUUCUGGGAUGCAGACGGCUGACUUCUUAGUCAUCACACUGAAGCUUUAAAGAGACUAGAGAGGUUGAAGGGAUGCUUUCAUGAGAACAUUCAUUCCUGCAGCUCCAUGCUUAAACCACACUACAAGGCCCUUCCUGAUAUCAUCAUCCCAGGGCGCAGGAGCUCAACAUGAAUCUGGGCGACACAAAUGUUGGGUGCACACCAGCUCCUCUCUGCUCUUAUCCUGGGUUAUUCUCCACUAGGUUCUUGUUUGUGAAAGGGCGAUACUAUUCCUUGAGCCUCUAUGGACUUAUGACAUGUGUUGCCCUCUUUUCCUGCCUUCUCUUUGACCUUCAUGAUAAUUAUUAAUUUAUACAGUUAUAAAUAUUAAUGGAUUCAGGGUGACAUUUCUAUACAUGCUUAUUGUCAUGCUUCAGUCAAUCUGCCCUUCUUACUUUUCCAUUCUCUUCCUCUCCCCUUUGAAUUCAUUCUGUUCACUGUUUUCACUAUAGUGUUUUUGUUUUAAGUCCUCUCCUUUACAUGAGAGAAAAAACAUGUCUUUCUGUAUCCAAUGUACUUCUCUUAACGAGAUGACCUCUGGUUUCAUGCAUUCUGCGUUUGCUCGUUACUGUGUAUUCCUGGCUCCCUUUCUUUCUUUGGUCUGUGCUCCUGUCUAAUCAGUCAUGGCUCUACUUCUCCAUAGUUUGUCCCUGUCUCCUCUUCAUCAACAUGCAGAUUCCUUGGGUGCAGAGACUGAUUUGUUCAGGUCUGUGUGCCCAGCAUCUAUCAGAGACCCUGGCAGAUAACAGGUGCUCCAUAAAGGUAUACGGAAUGGAAAAAAUGAAUUAUGAGAAGAUCUAUGGUCAAUUUUAAGUGCAUUGACGUUGGAUUAUGAGUGUGAGAGCCUAUCAUCACAAAAAAUUCCUGAAAGUGUUUUCUUCUUUAUGAGUUGUUCGUCGUUCACGUUGCUUUCUUAAACAGCUUUAAAUGCACUACACUUAUGAGCCUGAGAUUAUUCAACCCCCACCUCGAAAUGUGUGAACAGUGUUGACAGCUGGAGCCUUGUGAGUUUCCUUCCCUGUAUAACUAUCUUGGCUGAUGUUAACCAAUGCAUAAUGACAAGGGUGAGCCUGUGUGCACCUUGGCAAUAAUACUCAUAUUUGAGGUCCAGCAUCUGAACAAGGGGACGGGGAAUGAAAGUCUGAUAUACAGCUUUUGGUGUGGUAGAAAUGAAUCUGGAAACCUAAUAAAGUGGCUCAUUUAGAGUCAAUGAUUUAAAAUGAGAGGCAGAGUAGCUCCAGUGAGUGACUUGGAAGGCAGCAGAUCAGGACUUAAAUCAAAGGGCGGCCUUCACUCUUGUUCCCAACCCAGGCACCUGUCAGUUUUCACCUGCCUUCUUUCCCCCUGGCACAUGAUUGACAUCUAUUCAUUGGCGGUGUGGUAACUGCUCAUGUGUAGCCAUUCUAUCCUUCGCAGCAGGUUGCGAACUCCUCCAGAAUAGUGUACUGUCGAGGGGACAAUCUGUAAUGUAGUAAGUCUGUUAUGAACCUCCUUGUAUUUAGUGGAAGCACACAGAAAGUUUGUUAGCCAAUCCUUUCUAACACGGAAGGCAGAAGUAACUUUCAAGAGAUGGAGAAUGAAAAUAGUUCCAAAUCCUUGCCUUUAUUCUCUAAAAGGCAAAGGAAUUCAUCAAUUAUUUGACGUUUUCAUUAUCUCCCUUUUAGAUUCCCCAUAGUGCCAACUUACGGCAGAUUUUUCUUCUAUUGAAGGGUUACUAUGUCUGAAGAUAAAAUAAGUGAAAUACUGAAAUGUUUCUGUGACUCCUGGGUUUAAUAUUUGUAAAUAAUGUGUUGUGACUCAUUUCCCAGGAAAAACAAAUGCUUUAGCUUCAAAAGCUGUCUGUUAAAUGGAGAGACAGGUGUAUUGUGUUUACAAGGGAUAUGACAUUAUAAACUCAGCCAGAACAACCCAUCCAGAUGUGCAGUGAUCUGUAUCCAUGAACCCAGAGGAUGCUGUCACAAGCUUUAUGGGUAAUUUUUAUUUUUGAGUGUUCAGACACCUUAGCAGCCAACUGGAAUGGGGCCAAUAUCAGUGACAACACACAGAUGAAAAACCAUUAUCUAAUCAACUUCCAUCAAACCAGUCAGUGGUAAAUAGUGCUUCCUCGAAACACUUAUUACAGAUAACAUUUUGGUUGUUAAAUUUAUGAAGUGUAAAGUUACGUAACUUCUUUCUUGAAAAAGUCAAGACUGAAUUUUCAUACCCACGUCCACCCACAAACACAGUUCAGCAGGAGGAGCACUAAUAAGGUCAUUUGACAAAAAUAAAUCACACAAAUUGUAUUUAGCAAUUUUCAACAUUUACCGAGAAAGUCCAUACAGGGGGCAUGGCCUUGCCAAUUAUGAAAAAUGUUAUCCUGAAUAAUUAGCAGAAUGUGUUGACAAAAAAUGUCAGCAUGAGAGGAGGCAGCAUGCUUUAUCUACUGGUGUGUGAGAGAAACCUUUUUGAACCCAAAUUUUUGCUAAUUUAACAUGUUUUCAUAUUACUAUAAAUCGCUACUGCAAAUUUGUUAAAGACAUUGUGGUCUUAGAAGAAACUAUUUCUGUUCUAUAUCAUGAUAUGCAAUAUCAAUUAUUUGGGUGGUAGAAUGGCUAGUCUAUUCCUCUGUCUCAGAAUUAGGCAUUCCAUAAAAUGAGGAAAUCUUCACCCCACCCAAAUUCCCUUGUAGAUAUGCCUUGGAACUACCUCAGUCAUAGUCCUCUGUCCUUAUAUGUAUAAAAUUGAGUUUCCUAGGCUCUACCUCUUGCCGGUCCCAUUGACUCUUGUUUGAGAAACCUAGUCUCCUAAUACACACAGUAAUGAUGACACUGAUGGGCAAUUUGGCUGCUUAGCUGCUCUAGGAAUCUACUAUUACAUGGGUGCCUUUGAAUACACAUACAAGAAGAAUUCCUGAACAGAAUACACGAUGGAAUAUUGAAUGUUAUAUAAAUGACCAUUAUUUUAAUGUUACAGUGUAGCAUCUCCCUUUGACUUAAUAGAUAUCAGAAUCAAAAGGAGUUUUGAGGUAUACAGAGUUGGUGCCUGCCUCCAUCAUUUGUGUGAUAGAAAGUCUUCAUGGGUUAUCAGCAGCAACCUAAAUCAAAUGUACAAGAUUAGUUCCUAAGUUGGGAAACUCCUUUUCUUUCAUUGCAGUAUUUAACCCUGACUGUGGACCUAGCGUGUUUCCCAUGCCUCCACUGGGCAUCUCUGCUGCUGCCUCCUCCUCUACUAGAGUUCAUUUAGUUUCCUUCACUUCUUUAAAUGGAAACUUCUUAUAUCACAUCUUUAUUUGCUUCUUUCUAGUCCACCGUUAUCCUUCCUCACUGCUCCAUUGUAUUUAUGCCAAAUAGUUCUCAAGAUCAUUUUCUCUCUCUUGAAAUACUGAAACACAUUCUCCUAUCCAUACACUCAUCCAUCCAUCUUUCCAUCCAUCCAACCCUCCAUCCAUUAAUCUACCCACCUCUUCCUCCAUCCAUCCACUCACCCACCCAUUCAUCCCUCUAUCCAUCCAUCCACCCACCUACCCAUCAUUCAAACACCCACAAAAUUCCCAUCCAUUCAUGAAGCCAUCUACCCAUGCAUGCAUGCAUCCACCCAUCCAUCCAUCCAUCCAUCUGUCUUUCUGUCCAUCUAUUCAUGCAUGUUUUGUGUGCUUUAUAGUUUAUUCAACACAUGGAAACCACACAAACAUUUUCCUAUGAAUUGUCUUUCUUUUCAUUCCUGUGAAUUGCAGCAUAAUUAUCAUGGUACUUGGGAUCCAAAACUUGAACUUCAUAUUGAAUUUACCUUCACUGCAACAUCUGAUUAAUUAAGUUCUGUCAUCUUUUUUCUUA